GAAGAGGAAGAAAAGGCCAACGGACACGGGAGCAGAUACAGCUUCUCCCUGUAAGCCAAAGAAAGGCAAAUUCCAACCACAAAGGGAAGCUACUCUGGUCUCCGGGAUUGGCAAAGAGGAAAAUGAGUGACAGGACCUGAUGUGUCAGGGAAGGAAGGGGAGGGCCGGCUUCUGCGGCACUGCUGAUGGGAGUGGUAACUGGGGUCCUGAUCUCACGGUUGACGUGGCCCUCACGUGAGCUGGAGCCGACGCGUGCAGACGUCCUUCUAAUUCUAGUCUUCGUUUGGUCCGGUUGCACUCUCCCUAUCGCCCAGAGGGCGAGAGGGCCUGUGGCCUGGGGAAGGAGGACGAGGUUACUGCCUGGAUCCCAGCAGGUUUGUGUGUGGAUGGGCGUUGCCAGGGGAUCCCUGCGGCGCGGGCAGUGAAGGGUGGAGGCCGAAGGGGAGCAGUUCGCUUUCUCCAAACCCUUGCAGUAUUCCUGUCCCUUUCUACAACAAAAUGGUGGACCUUGGGGCCGGAUUCCAGGGGCGACCCCAGACUCGGGCGUGGUGGGACCUUUAACAUCCAGGGCCUUGAAUCAGGGAGGGCAGAUAUUCGGAUUCAUAUCCUGUGUGCUGGUCCAUCUACCAAGCCAGAAUCUUGAGGCUGUGCGUCUGUCUGACAGUCAUUCCCCUUUUCUUUCAGUAGGGCGCUGUGCCAUUUGGGAACAAAGGAAUAGUCUGCCUGGAAUCCCUGCAGAUCUUGGGGCCGGAGGCCAGUCCAACCCUUGGAGCAGGAAGAAACGCAAAGUUGUCAAGAACCAAGUAGGUCAUAAUAAGGGUGAUGGCAUUAUUUGGGGUGGAGCAUGGUGGCGACUGCAACUCGAGUGGGCCCGUGGACCCCUCCACAUCUCCCUUCUUCCCUUCUUCCCUACACCAUUUCGGAUCUUGGAAAAUAAAUUGCUCUGCAGGUACAAGACAGGGAAGCAAAUAGCUGAGAAGGGGUGGGCGUCAAGAGAGUCCAGGGGUUGGGAGGAUGUUACUCCAAAUUACUGUUUGAGGUACAGUGUCCUUGGUGUUGGUCCGUCGACCAAGCACUCACUUCUGAAGUUUGUCAGUCUUGAAGGUUUAGUGGAAGCAGAAACCGAGGUAAGGGAGGUAAGAAAUUGCUCCCGAGCAAAGGUAGUUG
Molecule: long non-coding RNA, 1167 nt
Filed under: Rhinopithecus bieti (black snub-nosed monkey)
Lineage: Eukaryota; Metazoa; Chordata; Mammalia; Primates; Cercopithecidae
Description: lncRNA (ENSRBIG00000046221.1)
Source: RNAcentral